Non-coding RNA from Paramuricea clavata, 295 nucleotides. The record is from the annotation of a GenBank genome assembly. NCBI's taxonomy places the organism in Eukaryota, Metazoa, Cnidaria, Anthozoa, Malacalcyonacea, Plexauridae.
CGAUGUCUAAUGUAAUCUACAGUCUCUUUACCUUCAUCUGUUUACUCUCAAGAGGCAAUUCGCAGAACCCUGAGAGCAUUUUGUGCGAUUAAAAAACAAAGGCUUGUGAUAUGUCAUUUCUAUAAUUGCCCGUUAUUUCUAUAAAGAGGUCGUGACACACAUAUGCAAUGGAAGUCUUCACAACGAGGUGAAUGGAGUUCCCUUGUCUGGCAAAUCAGGCCUUAAAAUAUCGGUCGGUCACGGACAUUGUCCGACCCAUUCGUCAAAUUGUCCGACGUAGAAAUAAAACCACCGG